GUAUACAGCCAUACCAUCCUGAACGUGCCUGAUCUCAUCUCAUCUCAGAAGCUAAGUAGGGUUGGGCCUGGUUAGUACUUGGCUGGGAGACCACCUGGGAAUACUGGGUGCUGUAGGCU
Molecule: ribosomal RNA, 119 nt
Organism: Callithrix jacchus (white-tufted-ear marmoset)
Lineage: Eukaryota; Metazoa; Chordata; Mammalia; Primates; Cebidae
Source: Ensembl